GCCGGGCAUGGUGGUGCAUGCCUGUAGUCCCAGCUACUCUGGAGGCUAAGGCAGAAGUAUCAUUUGAGCCUGGGAGGUCAAGGCUGCAGUGACCAAGAUAGCGCCACUGCACUCCAGCCUGGGCAAAAGAGUGAGACCCUGUCUCAA
This is an unclassified non-coding RNA of Pongo abelii (Sumatran orangutan), 147 nucleotides long. It matches the Rfam family "Metazoan signal recognition particle RNA". From Rfam's summary of the family: The signal recognition particle (SRP) is a universally conserved ribonucleoprotein. It is involved in the co-translational targeting of proteins to membranes. The eukaryotic SRP consists of a 300-nucleotide 7S RNA and six proteins: SRPs 72, 68, 54, 19, 14, and 9. The record is from Ensembl. NCBI's taxonomy places the organism in Eukaryota, Metazoa, Chordata, Mammalia, Primates, Hominidae.